UCGAGCGGUAGCACAGAGAGCUUGCUCUCGGGUGACGAGCGGCGGACGGGUGAGUAAUGUCUGGGAAACUGCCUGAUGGAGGGGGAUAACUACUGGAAACGGUAGCUAAUACCGCAUAACGUCGCAAGACCAAAGUGGGGGACCUUCGGGCCUCAUGCCAUCAGAUGUGCCCAGAUGGGAUUAGCUAGUAGGUGGGGUAACGGCUCACCUAGGCGACGAUCCCUAGCUGGUCUGAGAGGAUGACCAGCCACACUGGAACUGAGACACGGUCCAGACUCCUACGGGAGGCAGCAGUGGGGAAUAUUGCACAAUGGGCGCAAGCCUGAUGCAGCCAUGCCGCGUGUGUGAAGAAGGCCUUCGGGUUGUAAAGCACUUUCAGCGGGGAGGAAGGCGUUAAGGUUAAUAACCUUGGCGAUUGACGUUACCCGCAGAAGAAGCACCGGCUAACUCCGUGCCAGCAGCCGCGGUAAUACGGAGGGUGCAAGCGUUAAUCGGAAUUACUGGGCGUAAAGCGCACGCAGGCGGUCUGUCAAGUCGGAUGUGAAAUCCCCGGGCUCAACCUGGGAACUGCAUUCGAAACUGGCAGGCUAGAGUCUUGUAGAGGGGGGUAGAAUUCCAGGUGUAGCGGUGAAAUGCGUAGAGAUCUGGAGGAAUACCGGUGGCGAAGGCGGCCCCCUGGACAAAGACUGACGCUCAGGUGCGAAAGCGUGGGGAGCAAACAGGAUUAGAUACCCUGGUAGUCCACGCCGUAAACGAUGUCGAUUUGGAGGUUGUGCCCUUGAGGCGUGGCUUCCGGAGCUAACGCGUUAAAUCGACCGCCUGGGGAGUACGGCCGCAAGGUUAAAACUCAAAUGAAUUGACGGGGGCCCGCACAAGCGGUGGAGCAUGUGGUUUAAUUCGAUGCAACGCGAAGAACCUUACCUGGUCUUGACAUCCACAGAACUUUCCAGAGAUGGAUUGGUGCCUUCGGGAACUGUGAGACAGGUGCUGCAUGGCUGUCGUCAGCUCGUGUUGUGAAAUGUUGGGUUAAGUCCCGCAACGAGCGCAACCCUUAUCCUUUGUUGCCAGCGGUCCGGCCGGGAACUCAAAGGAGACUGCCAGUGAUAAACUGGAGGAAGGUGGGGAUGACGUCAAGUCAUCAUGGCCCUUACGACCAGGGCUACACACGUGCUACAAUGGCAUAUACAAAGAGAAGCGACCUCGCGAGAGCAAGCGGACCUCAUAAAGUAUGUCGUAGUCCGGAUUGGAGUCUGCAACUCGACUCCAUGAAGUCGGAAUCGCUAGUAAUCGUAGAUCAGAAUGCUACGGUGAAUACGUUCCCGGGCCUUGUACACACCGCCCGUCACACCAUGGGAGUGGGUUGCAAAAGAAGUAGGUAGCUUAACCUUCGGGA
This 1393-nucleotide ribosomal RNA is filed under the name Klebsiella pneumoniae. RNAcentral's name for it is "bacterial SSU rRNA". It matches the Rfam family "Bacterial small subunit ribosomal RNA". The record is from RNAcentral. Lineage: Bacteria; Pseudomonadati; Pseudomonadota; Gammaproteobacteria; Enterobacterales; Enterobacteriaceae.